RNAcentral lists this unclassified non-coding RNA (392 nucleotides) under Hevea brasiliensis (rubber tree). Lineage: Eukaryota; Viridiplantae; Streptophyta; Magnoliopsida; Malpighiales; Euphorbiaceae. The record is from RNAcentral.
UCAUUGUUUGCUUUAUGCCUGCAGAUGAUGAGGACACAAGUCCAAUUAGGACCUCAAAGAGAGUAUUCAAUUAUGAAAACUCGAAUUUACUAUAGUGAAACUCAGUAUCUUUAACUUUUUCUUAACAGCCAAAGAAUUUUAUACAGAAAAUAAAAAAUUGACAAUUGCAUGGAAAAUAGGAAAUGCAUAUAUUCUGGAACCGGAAAUUCAUCAAAGAUAACUAACCGUCAAACAUUGUACAGCAUGAUCAUUAUAAAAGAGUCUUGGCGCACGGACGAGAAAAAUAGGGAGUUUGGAUAGAUUGCACUCAUCUCAAACACAAAAUGCAUAACAUUUAUUCAAUAGACAGAAAGGCAUCCACAUGCUUACCUUGUUAGCAAUAUUAUUGGAGA